AUCGGCCUUGAAAGCAAAAGAAGGGAAGAAAGGAGAAAAAAGAAAAGAGAAAGGAGGAAGAAGAAAACAAGUUGGAGGAGGCUCAAUUUUGGGAAAGAUUGGAGAAAAAUCGAAAGGUUUUCUCUUGCAUGCCAUUGUUGGAGGUUGAAGGACGAAGUGGUGGUUCGGCCUAGUGAUUCCAAGCAAGAAUCUACAAGGAUCCAAAGAAUCUGGUGCAUGCAUGCGGCUUGUUCUUGAAAGUAUUGUGAGUUUAAGCAAGACAAAUAAUGGGAAGUUUGCAAGUGAGGAAGGUUUGCUGUGGUGGUGUACUGGAGGAGAUAACGGGUGACCGGCAAGUAAAAUUAGCUAGAGACGCACCCAAACCAAUAGCAAUGUAGUGUCCUAAUAUUGUGAGAUAAGUGAUCAACUCAAGUGUAUUGCCUAGUAUAUUAAGAUUUGCUGCGACGUAGGUAAUGGCAUCUCUUAGACUUCCACUCCGAGUCACUCUGCUGCAUAAGGGUCAUGUUGGGUAAAUAGUCAAACUUAUAAAAAUUAUUAGUUUAUCGAAAAUGUACUUGCUAAAACCUUGAGGUUGUGUAAUGGAUUCUAAGUGUGAUGUUGAAACUAUCUUGAAGUUGGUUAAACAUGGAUA
Theobroma cacao (cacao) is the source of this 631-nucleotide non-coding RNA. The record is from RefSeq and is a predicted model, not a curated record. Lineage: Eukaryota; Viridiplantae; Streptophyta; Magnoliopsida; Malvales; Malvaceae.